GUAUUACUGAAGAGUCCCGAACUAGGACGAAACAGCCGUCAAGUAC
Molecule: non-coding RNA, 46 nt
Filed under: Trichobilharzia regenti
Lineage: Eukaryota; Metazoa; Platyhelminthes; Trematoda; Strigeidida; Schistosomatidae
Source: RNAcentral